Rhinopithecus roxellana (golden snub-nosed monkey) is the source of this 567-nucleotide RNA transcript. It is a transcript of the gene named ATP synthase F(0) complex subunit C3, mitochondrial pseudogene, with no coding region annotated. The record is from RefSeq and is a predicted model, not a curated record. The transcript has a single exon. Lineage: Eukaryota; Metazoa; Chordata; Mammalia; Primates; Cercopithecidae.
AUGUUCGCCUGCACCAAGCUCGCCUGCACCCCCGCUCUGAUCUGAGCUGGAUCCAGAGUUGCAUACAGACCAAUUUCUGCAUCAGUGUUAUCUCGACCAGCGGCUAGGACUGGAGAGGGCUCUACGGUAUUUAAUGGGGCCCAGAAUGGUGUGUCUCAGCUAAUCCAAAGGGAGUUUCAGACCAGUGUAAAUAGCAGAGACACUGAUACUGCUGCCGAAUUUAGUGGUGCAGGUGCUGCAACAGUAGGAGCGGCUGGUUCUGGUGCUGGUAUUGGAACAGUCUUUGGCAGCCUUAUCAUUGGUUGUGCCAGAAACCCUUCACUGAAGCAGCAGCUGUUCUCAUAUGCUCUCCUGGGAUUUGCCUUGUCUGAAGCUAUGGGUCUCUUUUGUUUGAUGGUUGCUUUCUUGAUUUUGUUUGCCAUGUAACAAAUUACUGCUUGACAUGUUGGCAUUCUUAUUAAUUACAGAUGUAAUUCUGUGUAUCUUACUGUGACUCCGAAAACUGUAGUAUUGGUGUCAUGGAAAUGUACGUUAUUUCCAAAGUCAUUUCAUUAAAGAUGAAAACUU